GACGAACGCUGGCGGCGUGCUUAACACAUGCAAGUCGAGCGGUAAGGCCCUUUCGGGGGUACACGAGCGGCGAACGGGUGAGUAACACGUGGGUGACCUGCCCUCAGCUCUGGGAUAAGCCUGGGAAACCGGGUCUAAUACUGGAUAUGACUCCAUGACGCAUGUUGUGGGGUGGAAAGCCUUGUGCGGCUGAGGAUGGGCCCGCGGCCUAUCAGCUUGUUGGUGGGGNGAUGGCCUACCAAGGCGACGACGGGUAGCCGGCCUGAGAGGGCGACCGGCCACACUGGGACUGAGACACGGCCCAGACUCCUACGGGAGGCAGCAGUGGGGAAUCUUGCGCAAUGGGCGAAAGCCUGACGCAGCGACGCCGCGUGAGGGAUGACGGCCUGGUGUAACU
Molecule: ribosomal RNA, 397 nt
Filed under: uncultured bacterium
Lineage: Bacteria
Description: bacterial SSU rRNA
Rfam family: Bacterial small subunit ribosomal RNA
Source: RNAcentral